This 276-nucleotide ribosomal RNA is filed under the name uncultured bacterium. RNAcentral describes it as "partial 16S ribosomal RNA". It matches the Rfam family "Bacterial small subunit ribosomal RNA", at positions 338 to 606 of the family's 1533-position model. The record is from RNAcentral.
CCUACGGGGCGCAGCAGUAGGGAAUCUUCCACAGUGGACGAAAGUCUGAUGGAGCAACGCCGCGUGAGUGAAGAAGGGUUUCGGCUCGUAAAGCUCUGUUGGUAGUGAAGAAAGAUAGAGGUAGUAACUGGCCUUUAUUUGACGGUAAUUACUUAGAAAGUCACGGCUAACUACGUGCCAGCAGCCGCGGUAAUACGUAGGGGGCAAGCGUUGUCCGGAUUUAUUGGGCGUAAAGCGAGUGCAGGCGGUCACAUAAGACUGAUGUGGAAGCCUUCG